Molecule: ribosomal RNA, 468 nt
Filed under: uncultured bacterium
Lineage: Bacteria
Description: partial 16S ribosomal RNA
Rfam family: Bacterial small subunit ribosomal RNA
Source: RNAcentral
GACGAACGCUGGCGGCGUGCUUAAUACAUGCAAGUCGAACGGAAAGGCCCUGCUUUUGUUGCUUGGUCGAGUGGCGAACGGGGGAGUAACACGUGAGUAACAUGCCCUUGACUUUGGGGUAACUUCAGGAAACUGGGGCGAAUACCGGAUAGGAUCUCCUGCUGCAUGGUGGUGGUUGGAAAGUUUCGGCGGUUGGGGAUGGACUCGCGGCUUAUCAGCUUGUUGGUGGGGUAGUGGCGUACCAAGGCUUUGACGGGUAGCCGGCCUGAGAGGGUGACCGGCCACAUUGGGACUGAGAUACGCACCAGACUCCUACGGGAGGCAGCAGUGGGGAAUAUUGCACAAUGGGCGGAAGCCUGAUGCAGCAACGCCGGGUGCGGGAUAACGGCCUUCGGGUUGUGAACCGCUUUCGCCUGUGCCGAAGAGUGAGUGACGGUAAUGGGUAAAGAAGCCCCGGCUAACUACGUG